Molecule: ribosomal RNA, 388 nt
Filed under: Caldifarciminota bacterium
Lineage: Bacteria; Pseudomonadati; Caldifarciminota
Description: candidate division WOR-3 bacterium (hot springs metagenome) partial 23S ribosomal RNA
Rfam family: Bacterial large subunit ribosomal RNA
Source: RNAcentral
GGACAAGGUCCCAAGGGUCGGUCUGUUCGCCCGUUAAAGCGGUACGUGAGCUGGGUUCAGAACGUCGUGAGACAGUUCGGACUCUAUCCACCGUGGGCGUAGGAGACUUGAGAGGAGCUGUCCCUAGUACGAGAGGACCGGGAUGGACGGACCUCUGGUCCACGAGCUGUUGCGCCAGCAGCACCGCUCGGUAGCCAUGUCCGGAAGGGAUAACCGCUGAAAGCAACUAAGCGGGAAGCCCCCCUCAAGAUUAGGUCUCCCGUUCAAUUCAGGGGCAACCCUGAAUUGACCUGAAGACUACCGGUAGACUACCGGUUUGAUAGGCCACAGGUGUAAGUGCAGUAAUGCAUUGAGCCGAGUGGUACUAAUCAGUCGUGCGACUUGAACC